AGCAGCCGCGGUAAUUCCAGCUCCAAUAGCGUAUAUUAAAGUUGUUGCAGUUAAAAAAGCUCGUAGUUGAAUUUCGGGAUCAAUAUGUCGGUCGUGCCAUUGGUACGUACUGGUAUCAUUGAUUUCUCCUUUCUGACGAACCAUGAUGUCAUUAAUUUGGUGUUAUGGGGAGUUAGGACUGUUACUUUGAAAAAAUUAGAGUGUUUAAAGCAGGCAUUAGCUUGAAUACAUUAGCAUGGAAUAAUGAAAUAGGACGUUUGAUCCUAUUUUGUUGGUUUCUAGGAUCGACGUAAUGAUUAAUGGGGAUAGUUGGGGGCAUUAGUAUUCAAUUGUCAGAGGUGAAAUUCUUGGAUUUAUUGAAGACUAACUACUGCGAAAGCAUUUGCCAAGGAUGUUUUCAUUAAUCAAGAACGAAAGUUAGGGGAUCGAAGACGAUCAGAUACCGUCGUAGUCUUAACCAUAAACUAUGCCGACUAGGGAUCGGAUGAUGUUAAUUUUUUAAUUGUACUCAUUCGGUCCG
RNAcentral lists this ribosomal RNA (520 nucleotides) under uncultured Glomus. RNAcentral's name for it is "SSU rRNA". It matches the Rfam family "Eukaryotic small subunit ribosomal RNA", at positions 569 to 1087 of the family's 1831-position model. Lineage: Eukaryota; Fungi; Glomeromycota; Glomeromycetes; Glomerales; Glomeraceae. The record is from RNAcentral.